UUGGGGAAAAUUAUUGGUUGUAAGUAUUUUUUUAAUAUUAAGAAAAAUAAUUGGGUGAUUUAGUAAAUUGUGGGAAAAUUAAAAUUUAUUAUAGAUAAUUAGUAUUGUGAAAGAAAUUUUAAUUAAGGGGGGAAGAAAAAUUAAUUUUGUACCUUGUGUAUCAGGGUUUAUUAAAUAAAAUAAAAAUUUUAUUUUCUCGAAAUUAGAAGAGCUAAAAUAAAAGGAAAUUUUAUUGUAAAAUAAAUAUUUAUAAUUUUUUUUUAGAAAUGAAACGUUAUUCGUUUCUAAUAUAUCUAGUUAUUUAAGAAAAAGGUUGAAUUUUUUUAUUAUUUUAAAUUAAAUUUUUUGGGUAAUUUAAUUUAAAUAGUAGGUUAUUUUUAAGGGGAUAAGCUUUUAAAGAUAGGGUUAAAAAUUUGAUGUUUUUAGGGAUUUAUAGGAUUGGAAGUGUCCAUUAUUAGAAUAAUGUUAUAUUUAAUUAUAUGAAAAAUUUAAUUUAUAUAAAUUUUAACUUAUUUAUUAAAUUUUUAAUAAAAAUUUUAAUUAUUAAGUAAUAAUGAUAAAAUUAGUAAUAAAUUAUGUAAUAAAUUUUAUAAAUUAAGGUUAGUUAAAGGAAUUCGGCAAAUAAUUUUCUACCUGUUUAUUAAAAACAUGGCCUUUUGAAUUUAAUCUUAGGUCUGGCCUGCCCACUGAAGAAUUUGAAGGGCCGCGGUAUCUUGACCGUGCUAAGGUAGCAUAAUCAUUAGUUUUUUAAUUGGAAGCUUGUAUGAAUGGUCGGAUAAGAAAAUGACUGUCUCUGAUUAAUUUUAAUUGAAUUUUAUUUUUGAGUAAAAAAGCUCAAAUAUUUUUAAAAGACGAGAAGACCCUAUAGAGUUUUAUAGAUUAUUAUCAUUAAAUUUUUGGUAUUUUUAAUUUAAAUAUGUAAAUUUAUUUAAUUGGGGUGAUUAGAAAAUUUAAUAAACUUUUUUUGAAUACAGACAUUUAUAAAUGAUUAAUUGAUCCAGCCUUGUUGAUUAUAAGAUUAAAUUACCUUAGGGAUAACAGCGUAAUUUUUAUAGAGAGUUCUUAUCGAAAUAAAAGAUUGCGACCUCGAUGUUGGAUUAAAGUUAAUUUUUGGUGUAGCGGCUAAAAAUUUUAGGUCUGUUCGACCUUUGAAAUUUUACAUGAUCUGAGUUUAAACCGGUGUGAGCCAGGUUGGUUUCUAUCUUUAAAAAAUUUUUAUAUUUUAGUACGAAAGGACCAAGUAUAAAGUACACUAUUGUGAGCCAAGAAUUUUAUU
RNAcentral lists this ribosomal RNA (1276 nucleotides) under Aulaconotus atronotatus. RNAcentral describes it as "16S ribosomal RNA". The stretch from base 558 to 1276 matches the Rfam family "Archaeal large subunit ribosomal RNA", at positions 1423 to 2800 of the family's 2987-position model. Lineage: Eukaryota; Metazoa; Arthropoda; Insecta; Coleoptera; Cerambycidae. The record is from RNAcentral.